Molecule: transfer RNA, 56 nt
Filed under: Rattus norvegicus (Norway rat)
Lineage: Eukaryota; Metazoa; Chordata; Mammalia; Rodentia; Muridae
Rfam family: tRNA
About the family: Transfer RNA (tRNA) molecules are approximately 80 nucleotides in length.
Source: Rfam by way of RNAcentral
UAGCUCAGUGGUAGAGUGCUUGCCUAGCAUGCAUGAAGUUUGGGGUUCCAUCCCCA